AGAAGCUGGAAGUAAGCCUAUGCUCUAAUUAACUCUGCUCUGGGAGGCGAGGCUCUCACGAGAGAGAGGAGAGAGAUGGGGGUGGGGGGUGGAGAGGAUUGGGAGCACUUCAGAGAAAAGAUCUGAGAGAAAAGCCUGGGACUCUGCCACCCAGCUCCCUGGCCCCUGGGAGAAGCCAUGGCAGAUAUUUGGGAUGAGGCAGCAUGCUGGUCCCUCAGCAGCAUCCUUAUCACGUCAGCUGUGAGAGAAAUAAAACUGUGAGACUGUGAAGUGUAUAAAGGAUUCUACCGCUCUCCCGGGGCUUGGAGACCCACAGAUUGGAGAAAGGGACCUCUGAGGGUCUAUUUGAGGGCAUGAAUAUGGAAAAUUCAGCUCCAGCUCCUCCACCCCACUCCCUGAACAGCACUGCAGAACUGUGCUAAGCUCCUGUGGCUUGGAAAGAACAGAUGCAAGAGACAUAGGAAUGAAGAAAUAGAUGGUGUCACCUCCUUUAAUUUCCUAGAAAGAGAAAACAAGGCACUGAUGCAGCCCGCGAUGAGCAGGAAUGGGAACCUGCAAUCUCCUGGAAUCUGCAACACAUUGCUGCUCUAUCAGAAGAAGAAAUGCAAGGAAGAAGUCAGAUAAGAUGCUCUAACAAUCCUUGGGUCACUGGAUUCCUCCUAGAACCUCCCUUCCUUCUGGAAAGCCAUCAAAAGUAAAGGCACUGGCCCUAUAGGACCACAGGGUCACUUAAGGAACAUUACAGAGCAAUGAUUCUUGACCUUCUCAGCUUCAAACUCCCUUCUAGAAAUUGCACCCCCUUCCCCACCUCACACUAUUUGUUCCAAAGGCUUUUAUCUACCAAAGUUGAUGGGGGGGCUCUAAGAACAGCUUGAGAUUUACUGGUCAUACCCCAGAGUCCCUGUGCUGACAUCGACAUCUUUCCCAUCCACACAAAUUAUCCGUCGUUAACACAUGGACGUGCUAUAUUUCUAACCAAAUCAAAGAACUUGUACCGAUCUUUUCUGCAGCCUUAUUCUGAGUAAAUAUGUGAUUUCCAUUAGGCUUUUUGAAAUAUGUAAAAUAUAUAGACUCCCAUUACCACCUUCAGGACCUCUAGGUGUUUGGGGACCUUUACUAGGAAUUCACUCCUAUGCCCAAAAUGAGUUUGAAGAUGAAAAUUAUAGCUAGGCGGGGAAAGAACUGUUGGUGUAACAAGAUAUUUAAAAGCAAAAAUUUUUCCCCACCUGGGUAGGUCAGGGCCUAGCAUUGGAGAAAGGGAUGUUUUCAAAAUGAGAGUAACUGCUAAAGCAAAAUGUGUAAAACUGAGACAUUGGGCAAAGAAGGGAAAAGAAGGGAAGGGUGUUGGCUUAUAAGAGAAGACAAUUCUGCUGUGUUAAACUGUUUCCCCUGAAACAACAUUUCCACUCAGCUGGGAAAUUUUCUGGGCUCCUGAAACUUCAUUAGGUUUCUGGCAAUUACCCCAAGGAGACCCCCUAAAAGGUAGGCAAUAGUUACACAACUGACAUGCAUUGUGUGACAGAAAUAAAGGAAGCUGCACAUGCUUUUAUUCAUUAACGUAUUUUUUCCACAGUGCCAUAAGGAAGGAAAUUGUAAAUUUGUAAUCAGGCAGAUCUCUAAGUUUUCCAAGAAUGGCUGUUCUCUUCCCAACUAGGGUUAAAAGACAAUUUGUUGCACUCUGGGCAAAUCCCGACUUGGUUCCUGUCUUACUUAAGGUUUCAGAAAUAGUCAUAAAUCUUUUAAAAUAUUUAUUAUUAAUUCAUUUUGGGGCAGCUUUUAUGAUUCUAAAACUUCAGGAUCUGUUUGAAUGUUUCCUGAGUCUCAAGUUUCAUGGAGAAAGGCUGACAGGGAACCAAAUUCCACCAGUGGUUUGGUGGUGUGUGAGCAGGCCAUCAGCCAGAACAUUCUAACAUGUCUACAAAGGGCGUGAUUUGGGGUCGUCUCUGCCGAGAAAUUCUAUGGACUAGGGGGAAACACUUUCUUCUUUCCCCCAGUACUAUUUGGACUAGUUUCUAAAAAUGGACAGAAACACCCUGUCAGCCUUGUGAGAAAUCCAAUCAUCUUGUUAAUAAACAGAAAAGGGUACUAUCAACAUGACUUAUUUUCCACUAACUAGUUAAUGCAAGUAAGACAAGCUAAUAGGCAAAAUUCAGAUUUCAUUUCAUCUAUUGCUUCACCCCACACCAAAUGUAAAUGUAAAAGUCUCCUGAAUUGGGUGUGUUAUAAUCUCGGUCCACUGACAGAUUAUCUAGAAGCAGACUCACAUUUCCCCCAAAAAAGAACCCUGUAAAAAUAGCCAUUGCUCUGUGUAGAUAUCAAAUCUGUGCCUCCUGCAGGGAGUGCAGUGGAUGCAGAAACCCAAAUCCACCUUCAGGAGAGGCAGCCUGGAGGAGUAGCAUGAAGCAAGGAAAGAAGAGUUGGUGGAUGGGUUCUCAAAAAAUCUUCCUUACAGCCAAGUCUGUGAGGUCAGGGGAUAGUCUCCCAAGGGAAGUGGUGGGAGCCCCACAGUUAGAGGCAUUUAGAAGGGGCCUUGAUGGAAAAAUGGAAAUGUAACCCUAGGUUAAAAACUGUGCCCUGAAAAGGGAUAAGGGAGACAAGCUUAAAGAGAUUCUUUCAGCUCUAAUUUCUAAGAAU
This 2634-nucleotide long non-coding RNA is filed under the name Homo sapiens (human). RNAcentral describes it as "novel transcript". The record is from RNAcentral. Lineage: Eukaryota; Metazoa; Chordata; Mammalia; Primates; Hominidae.